UACGAACCGUCCAAACGUUAUUCGGAAUCACUGGGCUUACAGAGUUCGUAGGCGGUCCCAAAAGUUAGGUGUGAAAUCCCUCGGCUCAACCGAGGAACUGCGCUUAAAACUGUGGGACUCGAGGGAGAUAGAGGAAAGCGGAACUGAUGGUGGAGCGGUGAAAUGCGUUGAUAUCAUCAGGAACACCGGUGGCGAAGGCGGCUUUCUGGGUCUUACCUGACGCUGAGGAACGAAAGCCAGGGGAGCGAACGGG
This 253-nucleotide ribosomal RNA is filed under the name uncultured bacterium. RNAcentral describes it as "partial 16S ribosomal RNA". It matches the Rfam family "Bacterial small subunit ribosomal RNA", at positions 524 to 776 of the family's 1533-position model. The record is from RNAcentral.